UAAACCGAGACAAUUAGAGACAAUGAAGUAUCACGGCAACAAAAUGUAGAUCUAUGAAGACAUCAACUCAAGAUAACCCAGUAUUCAAGUUUAACCUAAGCAAUUACCAUAUCAUAUUUCAUCACAAUGCACUUUUGCAAACAAUAAACAUUAAGGCUUACCUAGCUGAGGCAGCCCUCUGUUCAUGGAAAUCAAAGGUAUACACAUGUCCCGUUGGCGCCACAGCUCUUGCAAACGAUGUUGUUAAUGAGCCACUACCGGUCCCGGAUUCAGAUAAAAUUGUACAUGACAUGUUCCAAGUCCUUAUUUUCUUCCCCUCAUUCAGGCGGAAAACAUUCUUUAAAACAAUAAAAUUGUUUUGGGGAAAUUAACAGACAGAGAAGGAAAAGAUACGUUAGAAAAAAAAUAAGGGGAAAUCGGAGACACUGACUCGUGGUUAAUCGGAAAAUGAGGGAAAAUUAAUUUCAAAUUUGAAACCUUAAUUUCUUAGAAGAUCAAAUGAAACCUUGCAUCUUAAUGCAGAAGAACUGAAAUCAGCUUUGGCAUGGUCAGAAAGUGAGACCCCAAAGAAAGUACAAUCCGUGAAAGAUGGACCUGAUUUUCCCUGCAACAAAAAAAAAACCCACCAUUAAAAACAGAAAAAAGAAACCCAGAACCAUUUCAUCAGUAAAAAGCUAAAAAGAAAACCUCUUUUGGGUAGGGUGAAAUUAGCUGGAACCAAAGCAGCAGUCUGCAAAGCCAUUACCAACUUUGAAAUGGGUUAUUUAAGCUUCUAUAAAGGGAUCAACUGAAAUUUUUUCAAUAUUUCAGUAAGAGUACAAAAUUUUCGAAAUAAAGAACAUUUAGUGCUCCUGUUUGGCUUCCGGGAAAAUGCAGGAUGAACAGUAAUUAUAAAAAAAAAAACGGAUACUAAUGUCAAGUUUGAAACAAAUUUCUGUCGAUUUUCUUCGCUCAGAAACCAAACCCUUCCAUCAUUCCAUAGAAGACAGGAGGAAGACAGAAAAGAAAACAAGAGACAAAGAUAAGAAAAUUGGCUACUAAAUGGGGAAAGAAUAGGAAUUUGGAAAUACAACGGGCAAAUUUCUGAAUUUUUCAAUCCCCUAACGGGCCACGCUUUCACGGUAAAAUUUAAUUCCUUCAUUAACUAAUUCUUUAUUUAGGGGAGUAAAACAGAAAAGAAACGUAAAAAAAAAACGGAAACAAGAAAUCGUAAAUAGGAGAUAAUAAAGGGAAAAUAAUAAUCAAUAGAAAUAAUUUUUAUUUGUUCAUGUAUAUAUCAUGUUUGUAAAGAUAUUUUUUUUAGCCUUUUAUUCAAAUUUACAGUCUCAAUAUUAUUUAAAUUUUUUAUUUAAAAAAUGAAAAAAAAUUAUAUGUUAUAUCCCAAAGUAAAAGUUUUUCAAAGAAAACUAAUAAAUAAUAAAAAUUUCAAAUCAUUUUGAAUACAACCAUAACCUGUCAGUUUUCUACUAAGCCCAAAAGAUGAUAAUAAACUCUAAAUUGUGCUCCAGCUUAUCUACAAAAUGUGCAAUUUUUUUUUCAUUAAUAGACCAAUCUGCAUGAUUCCCUUACGAUCCCAUGUUGUUCUUGCCUGUUGUUGGAUAUGCAAAUAUUAUGCACAUUAAUUAAAAGGAAAAAGAAACCUAAUUGAACUUGAAGUAGUUGGGUUUUUGUUUUGCACUUAUUGCCUCACAGAAAAGUGUAUCUAGAUGCACCAGGCGUGCAUGUGUGAUCGAAUGUACUUUUCCUAAAGGCUCUAGGGUGCUUUUAUCAUUUGGCGCUAAGGUGCAAUUGCUAGGCAUACACCUUGACAUUGAAGGUUGCAAUGUCUUGGUUGAUGCUCAUUACUAUGUUCUAAAUUGUAUUGAAUUUUGAGUUGCCACUUAUGGAGAUAGUAUGGCCCAGAGCUUAAAAAAUAGUAAAGCCUAUGUUCAUUUAUUUCUGCAUGCUUGUUAUUAAGUUGAUCUUGCAUGGUUUUUUUAUUAUAGUACAAAAUGUUUAAUCACUGAAUGCAAUUUGGAUUGAAGUAGACUUGAAAGUUGUUAAUAGGAAGAUUGAUUAGCUUUUCUACUUGAGAAGAUUCCCCUUAGCUCAAUUGCUAGCUUUACGGGACUUUAAGUCUUUAAUAAUGAUAAAUUUAAAUUUAAAUAUGGAAAUUCUUGUUAGAAAAGGUUAAGAAAUUAACCACCCCCCUCUACACUGGGUUAAAUAGAAGAGAUUUUUGUAACUUUAGAAACUUACUAUUAUGAAAUUAGUUUUCAGUCCCGUCUCGCUGAAUGCAUGCUAUUAGAAUUUCUGCCUCCAAUUUUCUACGUUAAGUGGUAUUCUUCUUUUUCUGAUUGUAUUGCAUUCUUCUAUUUCUACCAGGUAGAUGAAAUGUUGAGACAUACAUCUGUGUCAUCAGUUGCACGCUUGUAAAGCUUUGUUUAUACUUUUCUGCUACAAUCUUCACCCUGGAAUUGUUUGUUUUGAAAUUUCUCAACUUUCCUAGACAUGUGAUUUGUCUUUAGUUCUCUUGGAAUAGUUUCAGUUCUGUCUGCAAAAUUCUAUGUUUUUAACACAUUCCUUCUUGAUUUUUAAAGGGAAUGUUCCUGGCUUUUAGUAGAUACUUUUGAAAUUGAUGGGUGGUAUAAGUGAUACCUGUAAUGAGUUUUUUUGGGUGCUUUCUCAGUGGUAUUUGUUGAUGUUUGCAGAUCAGAUUUCCCGUAUCUUUUGGUUAUUACAUUCAGACCUUCAUGAGGCUAGGGUUACAGCUGUUCUGGAAUAUUUGUCAUCUAUGGUGGCAAGUUUAGAACUAUCACAUCAACUUGCAAAUGGACAGAGAGGUCACUUGGAAAAUUUCUCUUUGAUCAAGCAUAACUCCAAGAAAGGAAAGUUUCAUGUUAGAUUUAAGAAGAGAAAUGGACGGUAUGGUAACUCUCUCUCCCUCUCUCUCUCUCUCUCUCUCCUGGUUAAGAUAGCAGCAGACUGACACGAUAGUUUUUAAACCUAUAUGUAGUCAGAGGAAGUUCACAUUGACAGUCAGCUAUCAACUUUACAUCUUUGCCAUCUGAAGGAGCAAUUAAUCAGGGUCUUGUGCCAAAGGUCAUAGCUUAAUAUCUCUGUCUCUCUCUCUCUGCCUUUUGCAGCUUAUUCUUUUUAUCUUGUAGUACACUAUUACCUGCAAGAAAUCUGUUCUUUGCUCAAAAAAUUAGUGUAUAUCGUAAAGAAAAAUUGAUGUGGAUUGGGGAAGAAAACAGCAGCAAUUAAAAGAACUAGGACUGAAGGAGCAGAUGGAUGCCCCUUCUUGUGCUGGCUGCAAAUCUUUGUCCUAGUGGCAUCGAAUGCACAUUAUUCCAGCCAAUCCAAUCUAUAUGCUACUAGAAUGUUUUGCCGACCAUGCACUAUUUUAAUUGUAUUAAAUAAUAAUUGUUUAUUUAAAUAGUUACAAAAAAUUCUGAUAUAAGUUGCUGAAUCCGAGUGAUUUUGAUAUUUUCUUUACUAGGUUUUUAAUUGAUUGGUAAUACAUAACCUCUGGACUAGCAGUGUCUAUAAUGGUAGUGGUGUACCUUGGAAUAUUAAAUAUUAUAAUUUUUUUAAAAUAUUAAUAACUAUUUAAACACUUAGUAUUAAUGUUUAUAAUAUAUAUUAAAAUUUUGAGUUAUUAUCAUUUAUGAAUCAGAUUUUUGAUUAAUUGAUAAUGCCUAUUCAUCAAUACACUUAAAUAUUAAAUAUUCUAACUUUUUUAAUUUAUUACAUAAAAUUUCCACAUAAUUGCUAGUGAAGCUUAAUGAACCUCUAAUUGGGAUGGAUCAAUAUUCCCGAGGAACUCAUCAUCCAAUCUCUUAUUACUGUUUCUGUACGUGGCUCUGUGCUCAUGUAGAGCACCUUUUAUUACAAAAAGAAAAAAAGAAAAAGGUACGCGGACAACCGCAGACCGUCCAUUCUUAUUACUAGAGAUUAUUUAUUAAAACUGAGCAACACCCAUCUCGGUUAGGAGAGACACCCAACAUCAAUAAUAAAGUCUUCUCCUCUCUUCUCUGACCUCCCCGCCAACAUCCCUCCCUUCCCCACCUUUCCUUUCUCUGCAAGUAACCAAGUAUCUUCUCAUUUUACCUUUUGAUUUCUUUGUAAAGGUAAGGCCAUCUCUAUCUGCUAGUAAUUUGCAUUGUGUGUUGACUGCCUUUAUUUUUCUUUUCAAAGUCUCUUUUACUGUUUUAAUCUCUUUUAUGGAAAAAUUUUAAGGACAUUGUUGGAUACUUCUUUUUAAUUUCCAUUUUCUCAUUCAUUUCUUAUGCUUGUUGCUAAACCGUUGUUCAAUUUACUUGGUUGGGUUACUAGUAUGAUGUUCUUAUAUAUACCCUAUGGUAAUUAUUUGUUUUGAACUGAACUUUGCAACUGUUGUUUUCUGACAGAUAGGUUUCCACAUGUCUUUGAUUCAAUUUCGUCUUACCAUGUCUUUCUCUACCAGCAGUAUGGCAGAUUUGCCCUCCUUUUCAACUGAAGAAUUUUAUUGGCUAGCAUCAUGCUUUUGGGGCAUCAUCACCUGCAAACUAGUAAGUAGUCCAAUAUGCUUUUGCUUUCAUCAACGACAUUUUUGGUGGAUUGGAAUUUUUUUCAGAUCUUUCAUCUUCGUAGAUUUCGGUCAAAUUCAAUGGCUUUUAUUAAUCUUCUUUUUCAUUUCCAUCUUUUAUAAAUUCAAUACACUCUAAUCUUGGCACUCGGUAAAACAUCCUCAGCCUUCUCUGGUUCGUGUUACAUAAAAUUUUUUUCUUAAUCUUGUUGAUAGAUUAGCUCCAUAGGCUCCUUUUUUUUUUCUGGGAAUGGUAAUAGUUAUGGUAGUAUAAAAUUGCUUUGAAUCAUAUUCGGGCAGUUUUUACCAUUUCUUUUUAUCCAGAAUUUAGGAAUAGGCUUUGAAAUUGGCAAUUAAGAAAAAGAGAAUGGCUGUGAAUAGCACCUUAAAACAGAGAGGAAGAAUAGGUUGGCUGAGAAAAAAAUGGUUUGGCACCAACAAUGAUGCAACUAAAUUGUGCUGACGCUCAUAAAAGACCUGCCUUCCAGAGAUUCUAACCUCAAAUGAAUCAUAAAAGGGUUUGGGAAACUUAGGAUAAGACAGCUCCACACUGACAACUAAAAGACCCUGGUAGUGGUUCCACUUUUGGACCUGUAUCUUUGAAUUUUGGGCCAAAGUUAUCGAUAUCUACAUUUGCCGUCCAUGCCCAAGUUGGAGUAGUUUAUUAGGUUUGUUCUAAGUUGCCAAAGUUUGUGGACUAUUUAGGGAAAUUAUCGAAACCGACUGAAAAUUAGAUUUAAACCACUUUAACUUUGGUUAAUCUAUUUAGGACUGCCUAGAACUGCUGUAUUAGAUUUGUCAUCAGUACGAUGGAAUUCACAUUUCACUUUUAGAAUACAGAAUGUACAUAGUUCUGAGAUAAUCAUUUCACAAUGACUUUUGCACUUUAAUUUUGACUUAGGCUCAUUUUUCUAUAGGGGCAUUUGAUUUCGAUUAAGUUCCAUUUGUUAUAAGAGAGGGCUUUAAGCUCAUUAUAUAGGAAUGCUGGUACAGCACUUUUCUCGGUUGUGUUCAUGCUUACCUUUCUCCUGCAUUGUGGGCUAAAUAUAUAGUGAGUGCUCUUGUAGGAUAAAGCAUUUCGCAUCUUUAUAUUUUGGGGCUCUUUGCUUAUUUAGAUUUGUCAUCAGUACGAUGGAAUUCACAUUUCACUUUUAUAAUACAGAAUGUACAUAGUUCUGAGAUAAUCAUUUCACAAUGACUUUUGCACUUUAAUUUUGACUUAGGCUCAUUUUUCUAUAGGGGCAUUUGAUUUCGAUUAAGUUCCAUUUGUUAUAAGAGAGGGCUUUAAGCUCAUUAUAUAGGAAUGCUGGUACAGCACUUUUCUCGGUUGUGUUCAUGCUUACCUUUCUCCUGCAUUGUGGGCUAAAUAUAUAGUGAGUGCUCUUGUAGGAUAAAGCAUUUCGCAUCUCUAUAUUUUGGGGCUCUUUGCUUCUUUAGCAAUUAAAAUCCAAUUUGCCUAAUCCCUGAUCUGAUUUUUAAACUGGAUUAUUUUUGAGGGUUCAGAAAACUUAAUUGAGUCAUUGCUUUUGCAUUUUAGCCUUGCAAGAACUUAAAUCUUAUCAUAAAUUGAAAGGUUCAUGUUGUCCUAAUUUUUGUGUGUACAUUUAUUCUGAUUAUAGCAGAACUUAAAUAUUAUCACAGUUAGUGACUUCUGUUUUUAAUGAUGCUUGAAGAUGAUUUUUUCUUGUGGUAUUCUGCUUUAUUUGCUUUCUUUUCAUUUUGCUCACACUGGAACAAUUGGUCUCUUUGUGGUCCUUGUUGUUGGAGGUUGAUUAUUUAUCUUAAUAUGAUCAAUUACAGACUUCUCUUUUCUAUGUGCCAUAGGUGGUAUGCUUGGUCAUUACUUUAGAGACCGUCAAAUGUGGACACUUCGGAGCCUAAUCUCAUUGAAGGGAAAGUUUUGAGUUUGCUAUCUGAUUUGCAAAGAGAAAAAAGUUGUUAAGCAAAUAUUUGUAUGCUUUGCUCCUCCGUUCAUUUUCUGAACUUUUUUUCAGCUUAAAAACAAUAACAGGAUAUUUAAAUUAAUUAUGUUAUUAUGCAUAGACAAUAUGCUGAUUAUUACCCAAUGAUAAACUUUUGCUUCUGCAAGCAUCAAGAAAGAGGGGAAUGUUGUUGUAUCUGGAGAUGGCACUAAUGAUGCUCCUAUUAUAUCUUUAAAACUCUAUUUAGCUACUCCUUUUUUUUUCUUUUCUUGUUUAUUGAUCUUACCAUAGAACUUCAGCUUAAUGAUGUGGAAUAAUUGCUUCUUUUUUCAACUUACUGUCCUAGUGGGAUAGUCUGAUAGGGUUUUGGGUGAGGAAUUCACGGAGUGGAUGCCAGCUGAUACUAGACUGGUUUUGGAUUCUUAGAUUUUGGGCAUUGAUUUAGUUAGUCAGAUGGGCCCAUUUAUUAUGAUUUCAUUCUCUUGCUUUGGGAUUUAUUCAGCUUUAUGUACAUACUGUUUAUUUAAUUAUUUUAAUAUCCAGUCCGAUAUUUAAAAAAACAGAUAAAAUUCAAACCGUUUUCAAAAUAAAUAAUAUAAAAACUCUUUGUUCAUGCAUAUCUCUCACGGUUCUCCCUUUAUUCUCUCCUCUUUUCCUCUUUUUUUUCUACUAUUUUUCUUCUUUCUCUUGUUUUAUUCUCUCUUCCUCAUUUAUUGUCCUUUCUAACAAACCGCCCCUGCCCCUGCCCCUGCCCACAUACCUUCUAGCGUCUUACGUACGAUUAAAGGCCAGCUUCCUUCCCAUCAUUCAAGAUUUAAAUCCUCAAUUAUCUAUCCAAUCCAUUGCUCCCCAUUUCUUCGGCGGUUCUCUCUCGCUCUCGAUCACUUUUCAACGUUUUCCUGUCAUUCUUUUUUAGCUUUGGGUAUCCACGGGCCAAAAAAAAAACACCUAGAAGGAGAGAGUUUUCGUGAGAGAGAAACCCUAAGUUUUCUCUGGCGUUUCUGGUUUUUGUGAUUUUUGAAAUUCGCUGCUUCAACGGAGACUCAUUUCAGGUAUCAAUCUCUUUUUUAGUUUCAGCUCCAUGCUUUUUCACUUGUAUUUCAGUGGGUUUUUUCUUAUGGUUUUUGGUUUUCAGCUUUAGAAAUCACUGUUUCAUUCCGUCUUUCAAAUCUACAGAUGUCGGUCUUGCUCUUCAUUUUUGUUUGUUUAUCGUCUAGUAUACGUUGUUCUUUAUUUCUGGAUUGUUUGUUUCCCUCUGUUUAAUAUUAUAGCUUUUGUGUUAUUUUCUAUUUCUUCUAAGUCUUUGUUAGCAGAAUACUAAUUGCCUAAACAAAAAGCAUCCGUACGUAAAUUGUUUACUGCAUCUGGGUUGGCUUGAUUUUAGUUCUAGGAAUCCGGUGGGAGUUGUGACGCAUGUAGAGUUUAUUUGGUAGUUUUUCUGGAUGGUAAUAACAUGUCUUUUUAAUUUGUUGUGAGUUGUGACAUUCUGUUUCUUGGUUUUCUCAAAAAGUCUGUACUUUAGUUUAAAAAUGUAAUAAUAAUAAUCUAAUUGGGAUGCUUGUUGAUAUUGAUAAGAAUUGGAGAUUUUAACCCUCAACAUUUACACACUAUGACAACAUUGAAAAAAGAAAAUCAAUAUGUGAACUGAUUGUCUGGGUUUGUUCUUUUCCUUUGAUUAACAUAGCCUUGGGAGUUCAAAUUAGUCUAUAAGAUGCACUAAUAUUUGGACUACCAGUUUCUAUAAUUUAAUGGUAUGUGGCUUGCAAAAUAUGUUCAAUGCUGCUUUACAAUUUGCUACACUUUGAUCAUAAUGACUUUCUUUUCCUUCAACUUUGCCUGUAACAUGCUUGGUAAUGUUUGUUGUUGGUUAACUUGAAACAUAUUUCUUAUUGUGUUUUCCUAAUCAUUCUCUUUUACGGUUCUCUAUUGGUUAUUUUCUAUCAGACUUGGCAAUGGUGUUUUGGCAUUUCCCAGCUUUAGGAGGUCUGGAGUAUGUAAGUAGAGAAUCAUGCCUGAUGUUAUUUAUAUUACUGCUCUGAAUUGGUCCCAGUUCCCGGAAGCAAUUUGAUUUAAAGCAUCAGCUUAACCAAUAAUUGUGUUUCUUCAAAUAAGCUUUUGGUAUUUUCCUGCUCUCUUCUUGAAAUAUUGGAUCAACUGACAUGUUCGUUUUGAAAUUGGAUGCUUAGGAUUUGUUUGGCCUAGAUCUUUUAUAAAAAACUGUUGUUCAAGUAGAUCUCUUCUAGUGCUGUAAAAGAUAAAAUACUUAACGUAAACUAUAUAAUAAUAUACAUUUUUCUAAUAAAUUAAAAAAACCUGAACUUUAUUAAACUGAGGGUUUUGUUGAUACAAUAUAAGAAUGUGGCAAGAAGGUUGGAGGCAGUUCACUCGAUGGGCCGAGAUUUGUACCUGGUAGUAGAUAGAUUGGUCCCCUCUUUUUAUUAGGUUUGAGGGGAGUAUUUAAGGGGAACACUUAUAAGCCAUGUGUCCUUGUUUUAUUGGUGGGCUUGUUAUUCAAAGUGUGUGCCAUAUUAGGGCGGCUAUGUGAUUUGAUGUAACGAGGAUAAAGAGUAGUGUCAACAGAGUGGUUUAGCUUGGCGUGACGUGGCCUUGGGCAGAGGGUGGUGAUUAGUGGGGUUAUUCUGUUUGGUGGGGUUGUCCCAAUUGAUGAGGUCUGGUGAAGGUAUGUUAAGUGAGGAUCUGUCCCUCAGUUGAAGGGAAGGUUAUAAAGUAACCUUACCUGAGACAAAAAGUAUUAGUGAAGUCUCUAUGUUCCGGGCAAGUUCUGUCUAGAAAAUUUUCUGCCUACUUUGUUUCAUAAAAUUGGAGGAAAUUUUUGCGAAGUUUGUGAUUUGAUUGUUCUUGUGAAAUUCACACAAGGCCUUGAAGGCAAGGUGUAAACAUUCAAAUUAUGAAUGCAUGAAGCCUUGGAGGCAAAGUAUAAAUGUGCUAGGUGUUCUUAGAAACGCUCUUUACCUAAAAAGGUUAAAUGUGCCUGAAGAGGCUUUGUUUUUGAAAAGUUUAGUUGUUUGAGAAGUUGAAGUAUGCAUUGAAGGCUGUGUCUAAGAAGACAAAGUAUGCCUUGGAAGGCUAAAUGUCUUGGAAGACAAAGCAUGCCUUGAAGGCUAAGUAUUUGAGAAGACGAAGUUUGCCUUAAAGGCUAAGUGCCAAAGAAAAUGAAGUAUGCCUUGAAGGCUGUGUUUAAGAAUAGAAAGUAUGUCUCGUAGGUUAAGCGUUUGAGAAGUAGAAGUAUGCAUUGAAAGCUAAGUUCCUUGAAAUAUGUGCUUGAACAUUGCACAAUAUUUUUCCCUGAAAAACUUGUAAUUACUUGUAUAAUUGUACCUUCAUUGAGGUAUGCCUGAAAAGGUUGAAAGGUACUCGCCAAUGGAGUAUGCUCAUGAUAUUUAUCCCUUCAAAGCUUGAGGAAUGUCAGUAAUUAUUUAUAAUAUGCAUAAGUUAUACAGUGCUUAUCCUUUAGCUAGGUAUGCAUGGAAGUGAGCUUGGCAUAUGUGGCGAGUACCUUUCAACCUAACUGUGCGGUUUGUGAUUUAUAUUUAUAUGAAAUAAUCACAAAUAUAUAUUUAUCACUGCCCUGGUUCAGACCUAACUGUGCUUACACAAAUUUAUAUUAAAUAUAAUUUUUAUAUAAAUUUUUCACCCAAUGCAAAAAGGCAAGAAACUAGGGUUAGUGAUUAUAUUUAUAGAUGAAUGAUGAAAUAAAGAAGAACCGAUUGUUUGUUUUGAGUUCUCACUUAACCCUUUGCCUCUAGCAUCUUCCCUCAUGGCUUCGGAGAAAGAAGCUGCCCUUGCUGCUGCUCCCUCUGAUUCUCCUACCAUGUCAGCCCAGCCCUAUAUUUCUCCUUCUCCUUUAUGCAUCAAUUUCUUCUUUUAGAAAAAAAAGAAUUCUUUUCUUUUUAGAAUAAUUCUCGACAGUAAAUGUUCCUUCCCUUUUCACUUCGAUGUGAAUUAGCAGAUCAUUCCUUCUCAUUUACUUUUUUUUUUUUUCAGAUUUGACAAAAUCAUCAACAAGGAAAUACCAGCUACCGUGGUGUAUGAAGAUGAUAAGGUUCUGAUCUUUUUUCUUUUUCUUUUUACUUCUGAUUUUAAAUUCUGCGGAUUCAGUCACUGCUUAUUUGUACGCUGGAAAGAUAUUUUAGAAAUCAGGCCUUUUUUUUUCCUUCUUGAACUAUGGCUUGAUUCUUGCAACAGGUGAUGCUCAUUAUAUAUAUAUUUAUUUGUUUCUUAAAACAAAUUUCCCUCGACCAAAUUCUGGUCUCGACCUGGAACUUGGUCUGGCUUUUAACAAUUAGAAAGGCACUACUUUUGACCUUUUCAAUUUUUAUCUUAAAAUGGAUAGAAAUGCAAACACCCCCUGCCCUUAUAAGUUGGGGAAGAUACGUCGUCCUUGUGCAUUUUGACAAGUAGCCCGUUAUUGGCCUAAAGUAAUGCAUCGAGACUUGUGGGGUAACACAUUCUAAGUUAGAAUGAGAGAGUAGAGGUUCAUUUGUUUGUCUUAAGAGCUGUCUAUAUAAAGGGCUGUGUUUUUUAUUUUUGUUUAAUUUAUUUUCACUAGUGGUCUUGCUAAGGGUAAUAGAUGAGAAUUUGUUGGAAUUUUGAGGGAUGCUUAUUGUAUUUAAGAGGAUGGAUUCUAAGGAAUGAACGUGGAAGUGGCCUUAUGCCUUGAAAUUAUUAGGUUCAUUAAUUGGAUCAGUCAGCUGGUCAAAUGUUUUCAGGGAAAUGAGAUAGCAGAUGUAUUAGGUAAGGUUGGCAUUUGAAGGGAAGUAUUUUCAUGGCCUGAGGGUGAUAUUUGUUCUUUUUUUAUUGAGUUCUCUGUGCGAUUAUUGGUAUUUCCAUGUCCUGGUGCUGUCUGUUCUUACUUGGUGUUUGAGUUUUGGUUGACUUGUGCUACUGAUGUUUUAAUUCUACAUAUUGGUUCUGAAAUGUCUUUGUCCUUUGUUUGCUUUUGUGAGUGUUGUCAGUUAUUAGUGAAAGUUGUCUUAACAAAAGAGUUUUUCAUGUUCAAGUAAGAGUUAGAAAGAAUGCAAUUGGCUUCAUAAUUGUUAAUGGAAAGAGUUUAUCACUUCCAAGAGAAGUUAAGUGGACCACGUUUAAAAUUUUAGAUAAUUUUGAUGAUGAAAACUGGUGAAGGCUACUCAUUGAUGGAUUAGAGUUUAAGUAGCUUUCAGGAAUGCUAGCUGAAACUUUGGAAGAUCCAUUCCAAAUCGAACAAAUGAAAAUGUUGUUAGCAUUAGCAAAAUCAGGAAUAUGUCCGCAACUAAAAUUAGAGACCUAAUGUACAAAGCUUGAUUAGGUGAGCUGAAUCAAGUAGAGGUAUUGUAUGUAACAAAGCUCGAUUAGGUUGUUUGAAUCAGGUAAAGAUAUUGUAUGUAACUGUAUUGAAGCUGUCGAGGGUGUGUGGAUUAGCAGCUAGGGGAUUGUUUGGUAUGAUGUUUUGAAGUUGAUGUAUGUGAUGUUUGCUGUUUAUUGUUGCCUUAAUGAAAAAUCCUUAUUAUUUUAUUUCUUUCGUAACAGAGAAAUAUCGGUACUCACUGUUGCAGUGAAGAAAAUUUUAAUUAGCUUUGAAUUUUGCUUCCAUUGGCCGAAAGCUUUAAAGCUAUAACUUCUGGUAAAGAUUUUACAAUAAGCCUUUUUUUUUUAUUAGCCAAACACUUUGUCCAUUUCUAAUACCGACCAACCUUCUCAAUUUGUCUCUCCUUUCUCAAACGUGUUAUGCAUCUUCUCUUCUGUAAUGUGAUACAUUUCUGCUCUUUACAACGACCCUUUUCCUGCUUCAUUUCAUCUUUCUGACACAUGCACUUAGCACCUUUUUGGUAUCUUCAUUUUUCUUUUUUCCUCCCUUUUUUAGUGAAGAGAUAAAUGACUUUCUAGUAAAAGAUAUUUUAUUGGUAACAAACGAAAUAUGGCCUUAAUUGUUCUUUUCUUCAAAUGUUAUUAUUAAUGAUAAAUGAUGGUAUGAAUUAUUUUAGCAUCUUAGUAUUCAAUGUAUACAUAUUUUGGUCUCUGCACAGUAUUUCUUUGAUUAUUUUUAGAUGAAAUUUGGAGAUGCUAGAACAUAACUUAAGCUCUUCGGUAUAUUUUACAAAUAUUUUUAUAGAAUUGUGAUUAAUUCCAUAUGGACCUGGAUGAGAAGGUCAUCAACAGUUUGUUAUCAUACUAAGGCUUAGCUGCUCUUUGCUUUAGUCCCGUUUCACUGUUGCAGUGAGAUUGAAUUUCUUUUUCAUUGCACUAGACUGGUGAACCAAGCAGCAGACUAGUGAGGUUGAGUACCCCAACUGUACUUACACUGGUGAAAAAAGCUCAUCCAAGGGCAGUCUUAGUUUGGAUGAGCGGUGUGUUUAGCUCCGGUGAGAUUAAAAACAGCGGUGGCGGUAAGAUUAAUUACUGUAAUGGUAAGAUUAGAAACAAUGGUGGAGUGUGUUUGGAUUCAAACGCAGCUGUAGCGGUGAGGUAAGAAUAAAAAAUGACUAUUAAAGACAUCAUAUUAGAAUUGAUAUAUAAUAGAAGUUUUUUAAAUUAUUUUACUUUUAUAAAAUUAUUAAAAUAUGUGAGUUUAUAAAUUUAUUUAAUAAAAUAUUAAAAUCUAUUCAUUUAUGUGUAAUUUUUAUCAAUUAUAUUUCUACUUAUUUUUCAUAUAUUUAUUAAACUAUAUAAAAUUAAAUAUUAUUAAAAUAAAAAGUAUUAAAUAAAUAUAAUGAUUUAUUUAAAAUAGAAAUUAUCUAAAUUAUUUUAAAUUUUAUUUUAAGAUCUUAAAUAAAAACUAAUAAAUGAUAAAUAAAACUAUAAUGUUUAAAAUAAAAUGAAGACAUUAAAAGACAACAAUUGACGGAAGGCUAAAAUAGGAAGUAAAGUCCAGUGAGAUUUAACUGGAACUUUUUUCACCGGUGAAUAUUUUUUAUUUCACUGAUGGUCCCAUAAGUUUACUGUACUGAAGUUUGUCAUCCAAAUAGAGAGCACCAGUGCGAUUGCACCAAAAAGGUGAUUAAACGCACUACUUAAUUUGGAACUAUCAAGUGAAUCUUAUCUUCUUUCAGUUUGUUAUAAUAAAUACAUGACGCCUUAAACAUGAUUAUGACAUAGAAAACAAAUGAACAAGCCUUGGAUACACAAUCUGCAAAUUCAAACACUAAAUUAUUUCAUCGGACAUUUUUGAGCCUUACGUUUGUUUCAUUACACACCUUACAAGUUUUUUAGUGAUUGCAAUAAGUUGAUGGAUUGAAAUAACUUGGUGAUGAGCUUUUUAAUUCUAGACUCGGUGACAUACUUUCUAUUCAUUGGGAAGGUCAUCUAUUUUGACACAACCGAGGGGUAUAUGCAAUUCAACUCUAAAGACAAUUUCUGCCAACAAGGAUGAAUAAUGGAUAUUGCUUUAAGCUUUUAUUAGGGUUUUUCAUUGUACGGAUAUAUUUAGAAGCUCAAUUUAUCUCAUGGAUUUAUGGCCUAUUCCUAUCAAUACUUGCAUAUCAUUUUUGUUACUUAAAUUUUUAUUCACAUUUUGGUACUUAAUUAUCAAUUUUGGUAUCUAACCACUAACUUCUGUCGUUUCCAAUAAAGAAUGAAACCGUGAUUCUCUAAAGGUGAAACCAAAAACCAUGACAAAAACACAUUGAAAUCUAAAGGUGAAACUAAAAACCAUAACAAAAACACACUAAAAAUAGAAGUAAAAAGAAGCAUACUACUUAAACUAAAAACUGAGAUGAAAAGGCAAAGACAAAGGAUUUACAAAGCAGAAAAAAAAAUCAUAAAAAUACCUACUGACAUACAAGUAAAAAAGCAUCAACCAAUAAGCAAAUUAAAAUUAUGUUAAUCUAAGGAUUACGACUAGAACCCAUUCGUUUAAAAUAUUAUAAUUCAGUUUCUCUUCAUAUAAGAUUAGGUAACACAGAUUAAUGUAAUUCUAAUAUCAGAAUAUUUUCACUACAUGGAUAUAUCCAUAAUCACACAAAACUUCCUAUUCAGCUGAUGUACAGAGAUACCAUAGUCUAUCUAAAACUUCCAAUUAAAAUCCAUUUGCAAAUCAUAACCAGCAGAACUCAAACAAUCCCAACUAUUUUAAAGAAAAUAUACCCAAUACUUACGGACUAAUGCAAGCACCUAGUAGUAUCAAAAAGAAAACAUAUAUGCAUACACGAAUCAUGACAAUCUCCACCGUAAAUGAUCAUGAAGCCUAAAUCGACAAAACCUUUGCAAUUAGCAAACAAUAUCAACAAGCAUCCCAAUUAGAUUAUUAUUAUUUUGUUGAUAUUAGGUUAAACUUGAAUACUGGGUUAUCUUGAGUUGAUGUCUUCAUAGAUCUACAUUUUGUUGCCGUGAUAUGAAUGGCCGACGUCGUCAAAAGAGAAACCUUCGUUUUCUACAUAAUUAACAAUACCAAAGCAAAAGAUAAAGUAAUCUGGAUUUUUAGAAAAAUAAACCAGUAAAACGAUUCAAAUAUAAAACUUUGCAAGAAAACUCUCAUUGUAAGAUCAAAAAAGGCAAAUAUACUGCUUUCUUCGUAAGAAAGAAAACAACACAUAGUUAAUAUCUUCUAAUGCAACAUAAUAACCACUCGUAACCACUUUGUAAUAUAAAACAACCUUUUCAGUUAAAUUGCAUCCCUAAUUCCAGCCAUGCCAUGCAUUUAGAUAUUACCUAAAUAUUUCAAUCAAAAUCCAUUUCCAAAUCAUAUAAGCACCAGCACACAAACAAUUCCAACUAAGUUCAUCGAUGAGCUCCACUCAACUAUUUCAAAGAAAAUCUACCCCGAUCCUUACUGAUGAGUGCAACCACCUAGCACUGUGAAAAGAAAACUAAAUAUGCAUUGAUCCAUUGACGGACUACUAUGCACCACCUUAGCACCAAAUAAAUUGGGAGACUUUUCACUCCAAAUAUGACCAUGUUCUUCUAGUUAUAAUUGAUGUUAAUUGAUCCCAAAGUCUCUUACUUUCGAUUCUAUUAGAAAACACACAACAAUGCCAUACAAACAGCAUUUUUCCUUGAAAAAGGAAAUCAAACAGCACUUGUACAAGGAAAGUGGCCUUAAAUAUUUAUUGACCGUAGAUUAAAUGAAAACAACCAAGUGUUCAAGAAAUUGGAAACAGCUAUUCCCUGACCUUAAAUUUAUAUAAACUUUAGAUUAAAGAAUAUCAACCUCAUUUAACACUCAAGAUUAAACUUAAAUUUAUAUAAACUGUAGAUUAAAGAUCCUCUUGUCUGCUUACAAAAACGCUCUUAAACUUAGUUGAGCAAUUACUUUCCAUAACUCAAAGUCAGAACAACAAUACAACACCUUGCAAUACCCAUUUUCCCUCAGUUUUAUGAGCAAGCAAACAAGAAAGAAUGAGAAACACAAUGUUACAAGUUCAAAACCACAAUAAUUCAGUAAAUCAUGAUAAGAGACAACAUGCACUACUCACAACUGAACAUGACAUCGAGAAACAGUGAAAAAUAAAUAAUUGUCAGAAGAUAAACGCGAAUACUAUCAGCUUCUGAAGAAAUCAAAUAGAUGAAAACCUGUAAAAUGAGAAUAAAAAUGGAUAAAGAACUAAUCAUUCCAAGAAAAUCAAAAUAGAUGCCAAAUGAAAUCUUCAGCUUUUGAAUAAAUCAAAAUAGAUGAAAACCAGUUGAAAAAUGAGGGUAAUGAACGACUGCCUGCAACUAAAUUCAAAAAUCCUACGAUGGACUGUUGAUCUGUCCAAUCAACUAUCAACAUUAUGAAGGAGACCCUUAAUUUAAAUUGCAUAAAACAGAUGAAGAUAGGUACAAAAGAUGAUCAUGCUUUCAUUAGUUUUUAAGGAGAAUUACUAUACAACCUUAGAAAAUAGAAACCCAAUUAUCUGCUGCCUUCAAAAUGUAGGGAGAGACUAAUAACAAAGAAAACCAGUAGAAAGUUACAACUACAAACUUAAAUACUAAAUAUUCGAGAUCCAUUGUGCCAAUUCGAUAUUAAAAAUAAUUGAAACUUUGAAAUUAUAAAUGAUCGAAGCAUACCAGAUCACUACACAAAUACAAUAAAUAUCUAAUAUUCCAGUUAGCAUUGCAAGCAAGAAGACAACAAAUAUUAUAAAAACAUAAAUGAAAGCAUCAAGUUGUUCAAUAUCAAAAUUUAAGAAGCACUAUCAAAACACUAAAUACAUUACAUACAAAAACAAAACUUUCGGGGGUAGAAUUCAACAAAUCCACUUAAAAAUCACUAUCCAGAACCCUAAUUAUAUCUUAAAAAAACAAAGUAGAAUUCGUCAAAUCUACUUCAAUAACUCGAAACUAAAUGCAGACUUUACCUUUAGCCGGCUGCGCUGAAUAAAACCCUAGGGGAAAAGGAAAAAAAUUGUAAAAGCAAAAAGCAUAAGAAGAAUAAAAGGAGUGGGUUUGGUUUUAUGAGCCACUUGCAUGCCGAAAAUGCUACUGAGUUAUAGUUGAGUAGUAACGGGUUUGCUCGACCUUGAAAAAAAAAAAAAAAGGAAUACAAUUUUAAUUUUGCUCUUACUUGAAAGAGAUUGAUGGGUGGACCGAUGGUGACUACCUGACUGGUGAACGAUGAUGGUGGACCGGUGGUGACUGCCUGACCCGUGAACAACAACGGGGGUGGCCAUAGGGUAUUGGAGUGGAGAAGGCAAAGUUAUUUUGUUAGGGUUAGAGAUUUAGAAAUUAGCUGUUAGAAAUUGGGGGCAGUGACUUGAGGAGGAAAAGAAAACUAAGGGUAGGUAAUUAGGCAUUUGAUUCGGUGCCGGGCACGACCCAUAAAUUUUUUAUGAUAUUUAUCGAAUUAUAGAAAAUUGAAACUUGCUUUAAAUUUUUAAAUAAAAUUUUAUAUUAUUUAAAAAAAAUUCAAUAUUCCCCUCCAAAGUGUUUGGUUGAUUAAUAAUAUAUGUUUUGAUUCGUACGUUUUACUAUUUACAAAAUAAAUAAAUUUAAAUAAUUAAAAAAAGCAUUCAAACGAUAAAAGAAAUUUAGUUUCUAUGGUUUUAUCAUUGAAGGUUUGUUGAAAAAUAUAUUAACGUUAUAUUUAGUAUUUAAAUUUUAUCAAAUCUUUUUUUCUAUGAUUUUAAAUUUAAAUUUUUGAUAUUUUUAUUGCGAUGUUAUAUUUAAAUUUAACAAAAGAAUGAGCCGGAAAAAAAGUCCCCAAAACAAAGAACAAUCUUUACAAUUUUAUUGCAAUGGCAUAAAGAUAUGUCAAAGACAAUUUAACAGCACUUGUAUAAGGUAAUAAUUAUCAAACGAUUGGUCAAAGACAAUUUUUUAAUUCUGUAAGGUAACCCAAAACAAAAAAAAAUCAAAAGGAAAAAAACAAUUAUUCAGAACCAGAAGGCAUUGAGAAAUCAAAUAAGACAAUAAAUGAAGAAGAAAUUGGUUAUGACAUCAUUAGAGAAUAUAUCCAAUGCAUCUUUUUGUCAGUCUCAUAAAAACCAUCAACCAAUAAGCAAAUCAAAAUUAUGUUAAUCUAAGUGUUGCGACUAGAACCUAUUCACUUAAAAGAUUACAACUCAAUUUCCCUUAAUGUAAGGCUAGGUAACACAGAUGAAUAUAAUUCUAUCUUCAACCAAAAUUGGAGUAUUUUCGCCACAUCAAUAUAUCCAUAAUCACACAAAACUUCCCAUUCAGCUGAUAUACAGAGAUACCAUACGUCUAUCUAAAACUUCCUAUCAAAAUCCAUUUGCAAAUCAUAACCAACAGAACUCAAACAAUCCCAACUAUUUUAAAGAAAAUAUACCCAAUCCUUACUAAUGAAUGCAAGCACCUAGCAGUAUGAAAAAAAAACAUAUAUGCAGACACGAAUCUUGACAAUCUCCACCAUAUAUGAUCAUGAAACCCAAAUCGAAAAAAACCUUUGCAAUUAGCAAAUCGGUUGAAAUUCUCCAAUUCUUCAAUAACUAUCAAUAUUGACAAGCAUCCCAAUUAGAUUAUUAUUAUUUUUUAAAACUAAAGUACAGAUUUUUUGAGAAAACUAAGAAACAGAAUGUCCCAGUCUGGAAUCCUAUAUGCCGGUUUUGAUCAUUUAGUAGGUACUUCGCAUUUCUAUAAAGAAUGGAAAACUAUUGAAAUAAUUAUAAAUGCAUUAUUUAAAUUUGUGCAAAAAAAUUAAUUAAAAUAUUUCUAAAAAUAUUCUUAUAAAUAUUAAAUUGGAUCCGACCUGGUUUAUCAUUUAAUAUAAAGGAGUUAAUAUAAAGAACGUUUUGGUGAUUGUAAACUUUAUUGAAAAAACAAUAAUUAAAUCCUAAUAAUAUUUGUUCAUGUAUCUGUCUUUUUUUUUAAACACCUACUUUUUUUUUUAAUUUAGGUCACCUAUUUAGAAAAUCCUAAUAAUAACCGACUGAUAUAGCAUAAAACAACCACAAAGUAACUCACAGACCACAUCAAUAAAUUUCAAACACAUAGCAAAAACAAAAAAAAGCACAAGUAAAAAAGCAUAAAUCUUAAAUUAAAACAGAGAAAGACGAAGACAAUGUUGAAGCAAAGAUUCAUACCUGAAAUCAGUCUCCGAUGAAGCAGGGGUUACAAAAAUCGCAACAAAGAAACGGCAGAUAAAUAAACCCACUGAAAUAUAAGUAAAAAAAACAUUGAUCUGAAACCAAAAUAGAAAUGAUAAGGCAAAGACAGACAAAGACAAAGUUCAAGAUUCAUACCUCAAAAUCAGUAUCCGAUGAAGCAGGGGAUUUCAAAAACCACAAAAAACAGAGUGUAGCGCAUGUGUGUGUUUUGGCCUUUGGUUACCCAAAGCUAAAAAAAUGAGAGGAAAAAAAUUCAAAAUAGACCGAGAGAGAGAAUGGGUAAAGAAAUGGGUAAAGAAAUGGGAGGAGAUUUGGAUUGAAGAGAUAUAUUUGAGGAUUUGUUAUGAAAGCAGAAGAAAUGAGGAAGAAAAAGAGCACAAAACAGGGAGACCGAGAGAGAGAGAGAGAGAAACGGCUAAUAAAUGGGUUUAUUAACUGCUGUAAGUGUGGGAUGAGGUUUCAAUCUGGGUUUUUAUUUUAUGUUUAGGUUUCAAUUUCGAUUUUAGAUUGUAUUAUUGAUUGAAUAAUUGUUGCGAAACUAUGACUCAUCACUUCAAUUUUUUUUACUUUUUUUUUUGGCUUACAUUAUCUUCGUCACUUAGAAUUUUUAUAUAUAUUACUACGUUACUAGAUUCUAUGCAUUUAUCCGUUCCAUAUAAAUAAUUAAUACAUUCAUAUAUCUUAAUUAAACAAUUAGGAAUUUUUAAAAUUCAUCCAUUUUAGUCAAUUUGAUGGAAUACAAAAUUUAAUUACAACACAUUAUUCAUUAGGCUCAUAUCAUAGCAUAGCUUAAAUUCAACACUAGACUAGCAGUUAUAACUAUAAAAUGUAAACAUUUGAUUCGACAAUAAAAAUACAAUGCAGUAGAAUACAAAUUGAAAUAUUAGCCACACCAAAAAGAAAAAAAGAAAAGGCAAAGGCAAGGCUCCUUCCCUAUAUAUGGAUGGCUAUAUCGUGGUAUAAUUAGAGAAAUAGAUAAUUAAUCUAUGCAAAGUUUCUGGAUAAAACUUUUUUACGAAUAAAUAACAAGGUCUCUUCAUUGAAUUCUACAAGCAUAGCUCACUUAUCCCUCUCCUCUGCACCAACAAACAACACCCCUAUUUGUUCCUUCUUUCUUCCAAACAAACAUGCAUAAAAUCUCAAAUUCAAAACAAAAAACGGUAGGAAUCUUUUUUUUACCUUUGGACCACUUGUAAAAUGUAUGCUCUCCUCAAUGAACUGCAUAGUUAGUCAAACAUCAGUUUCGAAGUUUAUACCAGUAAACUCAAAUUUGAGAAUGUAUGUAUAAGUGGACGUACCGUAAAGUUCUUGAGGAACUCAAAUGUUAUAUAUUGGGCCCUAAAUGCUCUGGGAUGUCACUUCCUUUUUGACCAAUCUACAUAUGUUACUAACCUAUUUGCGACUUCGCUAGGAUCAAUCAUUUGUUGUAUAUAAAAAUAAUUGGUUUUAUGACAUCACUUUUAUAUAUAGUAAGUAUUGAUGCCACCAAAAGAAAGAAGUUUGAUGUAACAACAUUAAAAAAAGGUUGGCAAAUAAUGCUCGUCAGAAUAGCAACUGCGUCCAUCCAUAUGUGGCUGACACAACAACAUGAGAUUUUUGUUAACGAAGUGACACCCAUCAUAUCAAGUAGAAUUUAUUUAUGGUUUAAAUAAAAAAUGGAAAGUAUUGCGAGUUUAAUAAUAGAAACUGAUAGGCAAGCGACAUUCUAAGGUUAUACACUUGCAUCAUUAUAGCAACAAAGUAGCUCUGCUCAACAAUUACCUUGCAAUAAUUCUUGAAUUUCCUGUAAUAUAGGUUGUCCGCCAUAACUAUUAUGGCAUACUGACCCUUCAUGCUAAACCACUGAAAUAAAAUAUGAAUCAAGACCAACUAAACAUAUGAGAAACAUCAUUGUCACGUUUUAUUUUUUUAGCAAAAAAACUAUUACAAAAGGUCCACGAAAAUAUAUUUAGGCAAAACCUUACAAUCUCUUACCAGAAAACAUUGUUAAAACUAAACACUUACAACUAUUUAUUUACUCAGCAUGAUAAGCUAUGAUGGCAGUUAAACAUAAUAAUUUUUAAAAGACAAGAGAAUACACUUUAGAACUACACAAAUCCAUGAAAAGACAUCCACCAUAGUCAGUUGUCAUAUUCUACUUACAAAAUACAUGCCAUAAAAUCAUAGAAAUUAAGACGUGAUCAUUUUAUUUAUGCACAAUGCAAACCUUACCCUAACAAGUAAUGUGCACAAUUAUCUAUGGCUUGGACUAUAAAUUUUACCGAGAGAAAAGUAGAGUAAUACAUGAUGGCAUCCUCAAUGAAAUGCUAACUAUCAGGAAUAUAGGAUCCAUUAUACGAUGCUUUUUAUUCUUAUAUGUUAUAUAAGGAAGGCCCCAUAAGGAAUUCAGACCUCGAUGCCGACACAGUAAAAAGUCAACCUUGAAGUUAGCUACAAUUUCAGUGAUUACGCAAAGAAGCACAACCUCUAGUUUAACUAACCUUAAAAUCAGAAGAAUUUAUAAUAUAAAUUUUUUAACUAGGAAUCCGAAUUUCCUUGUCAAUAAUGCUUAUAUUGGUUCCUUCAGCUGUCUCUUCAUUAGAAAUGCUAGUAACAACUGAGGAAGAUGUUCGUACUGGUGAACAGAUGACAUCAAAUGGCUGCCUGUGAUAUACUCCAAAAGUGCAAGUGUCCCCUAGCUUUUCAUAUUCCUCGUCAGGAGUCGGUAGUUUCUCUUUCACCCAUGGUUGUAGAUCUUCAUCAGCUUCCACAGCAUAUGUAAACCGCAUGCCCCUCAAAGACUCCUUCCCAGCAAUGCUCAUAUCUGCACAUUCAGCAGCAAUUACCAUGGUGAGGCCUGUAGCAAUUGAGGUUGCCUUGCUAGUAGGGGGAUCAAUGGAAACUAGUGACUCUACAUUACCUACGCCAAGAUUGGAUGACUCCCCUGGUUUUCUUCGCCCAUAUUCUUCAAUGUGUUCAGAUUGUUUAUGACAAGCCUCAUGAAUAAUGCUCUGCAAAUUAUCUGCUGAAACAAUAACCACUUCAUUUCGAAAUGUUUCUGGAACAGUUUCACAUGUAUCACUGACUUGGUCAUAUUCAUCCAAGUGAUCACAAUCAUCUUUGUAUUCAAACUCUCCUGGUUAAGUAUAGCAGGGGAGCUCAUCCAUUGUGCAAACUUUAACUUUCAUCUGCUCUGGCAAGCUUGGGCAACUAGCAGAAUGAGUUGUGUAUUUGGUUGAGAAGUAGUUUACGGUGAUGUUCAAGCUGAUCAAACAACAAUAUAACACAUUGGUUAACCAACUAUUGACCUAAACAAAACAGGAUUUAUGAGGGAUAAAAGUAUAUACCUCUACCAGACAGGGAGGGUGAGCAUCGUAUAUGCAAGUUUGAUCUUAUUGGUGACACCAGAGAAGGAUUUAAAAGUUGCAGCUGCUUGCCUCACGGCCACGGAUUCUUGAGGAUGCUGCCAGGCCCACUCAAACUGCAGGCAUCAACCCAUCAGAAAACAUUUAUAUAUUAGUAACAAACCAUGAGUCAGAACAGUUAUUGGAAGUAUUACGUUUAAUAAAAUCAAUAAGCUCAGAAAAUUUUAGGCUUUUGAGUUUCUAAAAAAGUUAAAAAAAAUUGUUUUCAUCUGUGUAUAAUCUAGAAAUUUUAUAUAUCAUAUAAAUACAAUAGUUUAAGAUAUUAUUUUACCAAAUAAAACAUUGAAUUAAAAAAUAUAUAAAAUAAUAUAAAAUUAUCUAUGAAAUCAAUUAUAAAAUUAAAUUUAUAUAAAAUUAUAAAACACUUUUAAUAUAUUUUAAUUUAAACAUAUAACGUACAACGGGAUAAGAUAACUAAGGAAACGUUAUUUAAAACUAAGAAUUAAUCUUAAAUUAAAAUGAAGUUAAUUUUUUGUUUUAAAGUGUGAAUGUGAGGAUGAGGAGGGAAGAUGGUGUAGGUGAUAAAUAGUAACAAAAUUCCGAGAUGCAAGGCAUUAAUAGGGUGAAGAUUAGGAGUGUAGAGAGAGGCUAGAGGGGCCGUGCCAUAUGAGGAAAUUUUAAAUUUGGGUUAGUAGUAAAUGUCAUCUCCGUAUUUGGAAAAUCUUUGGAUGAACAACCGCCACUUGUCAAUGUCAAUACUGUUGGUGCUACCAAAAAACGAAUGAAUCCUCAUUAAUUAAUUAACCACCUUAGUUGCAGACCGCAUUCAAGUCUCCAUGUCAAAGUCAAUUUAUAAUUUCUUGAUUUUAGGAUGAAACUUAAUUUGGCCUUUAGUUUACGAUAAAGCUGCUGAAUAUAUGCAUGCAUGUUUGAUUAACUUUUUUAAUUUUUCUUUUCUUAUCUUUUUCUUUUCAUUUGAAUUUAGUUAUUUAUAAAUAAAUCAUCGUAUUAUUCUUUUUUGAAUAAUUAAUAAAUAAUUUUAAAAUUAUAAUAAAAAAUAAUAUUUAUUAAUGGCGGGAGGAGCAAGCCCCGGUGCGAGAGAGCUUGAUCAGACGCCCACCUGGGCUGUGGCUCUUGUUGUGGCUGUCAUCAUUAUGAUUUCAAUAGCUCUGGAAAAGGUUCUUCAUUCAGUUGGGGAGGUAUAUAAUCUCAUUUUUCUCCUUUUUUUUGCUUUUGUUUUAUUCAUACAGUUCUUUUUUUCGUUAAUUAGAAAAAGUUGUAUAUCAUAUGAGAUUUCAUUAUUGCAGCUGUUUGAACAUAAAAAAAAGGAGGCUUUAUAUGAGGCUCUUCAAAAAGUUAAAGGCGGUAAAAUCACCUCUGAUCGAAAUAUUUUUACAACAUUUCUUCUCAAAACUCACAAUUGAUUUCUACAUGGCAGCUUCUGCUACAGCGUUAUUAUUAAUAUUCUCGUCCAUGAUAAAUAUACUAGUUGUUUUAUAAAUUUUUCUUUGGUUGCAGAACUUAUGGUUUUGGGAUUUAUUUCUCUGCUUCUGACAUUCGGGCAGAGCUAUAUCUCCAAAAUCUGUAUUCCAGAGAGGCUUGCGGAUACAAUGUUAUUUUGCCCCAGAAAACAUCACCAUUCCCAUCACGGUCAUCAAGAAAGCGGAGGUGGACAUCAUCGGAGACUGUUUUCAUAUGAUGACGACGAUGACGAUGAUGUGCGUAGAUUUUUAGGAGGUGAUGGUGGCGGUCCAGCGUGCAAGCUCGUAAGUAGUUACAUCUUGAAUGAUAUUUAAUGCUUACUUAUAAGACCUAUGCAUUAUUGUUUGAUGAUCACAAAUUAUAUACAUUUUAUUGGAAUUUCAUUUCUCAACAUCAACUAAAAUACAACAAAAUAACAAAAGGACUUUGUGACUAAAGCAGCUAUAAAUGAUGUUAUUAUUGUAGGGGCACGUGCCACUUAUAUCUGUGCAUGGAUUACAUCAGUUGCAUAUUUUCAUAUUCUUUUUGGCAGUUUUUCAUGUGGCAUAUGGUGCCACGACAAUGAUGCUGGGAAGAUUAAAGGUGGCUAUAUAUCCUUCAGUUUCUUAACCCCAUUCAUUUAUGAUAGAUGGAGUAUACGUGUGUUCAUGAAUCUCGUACCAUAUGCAUUGCAGACACGAGCCUGGAAGGACUGGGAGCGGGAGUGUGUCAAUAGUGUUACUGAACUCAACAGUAUAAUAUCGCUUAAUCAUCAGUUUCUUAAUAAUUAAGGCGCAGUUUUUCUAAAUUAAUAUACAUUCCCACUUAAUUCAUUGAUGCCUCGUCAUGUUUUAAUUUCUUCACAUGUUCACUAAUUUGGCUACUUGCUUGCUAAUUUAGAUCCUUCAAGAUUUAGGCUCACUCAUGAGACAUCAUUUGUAAGAGACCACACCAGAGGAGCUUGGACAAAAACAAAAUUCUCCUUUUAUUUUGUAAGGAUUAAUAUAUGUUUUCAACUCUUCAUUUUUUAUUUUUUUAAAUAAAAUAAACGCUGCUGUCAGUAAAAUUAUUGGAGUGAAAUUUCUCACUAGAAUGAUUCAUGAAUACAAUAAAAUUCUAAAUUAUCUUCAACAUUAUUAUAUAAUUAUUUAUUUGAUAUAUAUAGUAUAAUAUUGAGUGUCAAAGCAGUAGUAAUUGUAUUUUGGUUUUCUAAUAAUCUGGUGCCAAUACCAUUCCUUUAUUACUAUCAAAAUGACUCUUCCCACGGCCAAGGAUGAGAAUUGAGAGGCUACUUAUUAUGUACGAACUUGAGACUAGCUUAAAGCCAAGCUUUCUGGUUGUAACUACACUUAUUCAAAGGAAUGAAUGAACUUUUUCCAGGUAUGCAUGUGGCGACAAUUCUUCAGGUCUGUUCGCAAGGCCGAUUAUUGUACAAUGCGUCACGGAUUCGUCAGUGUGAGUUUCCUCUCUGGAACAUCUUUUGUUAUUUAUUUCCAUUAUCUGCAGUAGCAAUUACAGUAACUCAAUUAUUGCCUUCAGGUUCAUUUAACACCUGGAAGUAAGUUUGACUUUCAAAAAUAUAUCAAAAAAUCAUUAGAGGAUGACUUCAAGGUGGUCGUCGGAAUUACGUGAGUUUUUUUUUUUUUCGGAGGGGCGGUGGAUUUUGGUUCAAUUAGUAAUUCUAGAUCUUCUACUAAUAAUACCCGUGGUGCCUGCAGUCCGGCAUUGUGGGCUUCAGCAGUCGUCUUUCUCCUUAUGGAUGUCCAUGGUUAAUUCCUUUCUAUUACCUUGUCUUUUUCCCCUAGUUAUUUGCGUUAUUCCUCUUAUUCUAAUAUAUAUAUACACAUAUAUUCUUGUUUUAUGCUUUCAGGCUGGCAUGUUAUGACUAUCAUAUCCAUGAUUCCUUUAAUAGUAAGAUAUUGUUCAGGAAAACUCAAUUUCCAUAUGAUUAUCUGAUUUAUGUACUAUGUUAUAUGCAAAUGAUUAACCAUUCAACCUUUUUUAAAAGGUAACUUUAGCAGUUGGAACCAAGCUUCAAGCUAUUAUAGCACGAAUGGCACUUGAAAUAGUAGAAAAACACGCUGUUAUACAAGGGAUGCCUCUCGUGCAAGUCUCUGACCAGCAUUUUUGGUUUGGUUGGCCUCCGUUAGUCCUUCAUCUUAUCCACUUUGUGUUGUUUCAGGUAUUUUACGGCCCUCUUCGUCCAAACAAGAAUAAACCAUAUGAUGGUUUUCUCCACCGUUGAAUAUUAAUUAUCAAUGUUUAUAUUCUGACAUUCUUUACUAUAUGUUUCAUCUCCAGAAUGCAUUCGAGAUCACAUAUUUCUUUUGGAUAUGGGUAAUGUUUUUGUUCUCUUUACCUUCUUCAUAUUUCAAUAAUGCCUAGAAGAAGUGGAAUGUUUCUAGUUAAUGAUUCCUCCUAAUGCAGUACGAGUUCGGCCUAAGGUCAUGCUUUCAUCAGGAUUUUACACUUAUUACUAUAAGAGUUUGUCUUGGGUAAGUCUUGCUUGUCUCUGAAAAUAAACAUUGGGUGGGUUUAUUCAUAGGAUUGGGUUAUGAAAGGGUUUUGGCAGGCACUUUCUCCAUAUCAUAUGUGUAUAUUGUUGCACUUGCACAUUAUGAUCGAUGGUGAAUGUUUGACAGGGUAGUAGUCCAGUUCAUUUGCAGCUACAUCACACUUCCACUCUAUGCGCUUGUUACUCAGGUAAACUCUCCAAUCCCUAGUAAUAGACUGGAGCUCCAAGACAAGUUGUGGAUAUGGACUAAUUAGAGAUCCAUAACAACAACCAACCAGUCCUAACUACUGACUCGCUGCUUGUGCAUGAUUAAUUUUCAGAUGGGAUCAACCAUGAAGAGGUCAAUCUUUGAUGAACAAACUAACAAAGCCCUAAAGCAGUGGCACAAGAAGGCUGCCCAGAAGAAAGCUGAAGCCCCUCCUCGUUCAAAAAUGCCGGGGGGUGAUUCCUCUGACAAUACUAGAAGACAUGAUGGUGAUUCCGAUCAUCGGGAUGUCACCGUUGAAGCGCAGCCUAAUCGGACCCAAAACAACAACAAUAACAAUAACAAAAAUAAUGUUGACCUUCUAACUGGACCAUGAUCAUGAUGUGAAACAACAGGGGACUCAUAUAGGAACUCGAUUUUAAGCAAGGAAUUUUGAUACUCGACAAGCAUUAGGCCACAACAACUACCUCCUAGAUUAGAGAUGGAUGCGAUGCAACUCAAACUGCCUUUUUUUUUUUCUUUAAUUUAAUUAAUUGAUUAAUUUGAUUGUAACUACUGUAACUAGUGGGUGCGUGCAGCUAGCUUGUUCUAAUGUCAUACCCUUCAUCGUUUUUACAUAUAAUAUUGUUAUGCAACUCAAUUAAUUACUUUCUCAAAACAAAACUCAAUUAAUUACUUGUAAUUAUGAAAAUUUAUUAUUAUGUUAAGCGUCAUUUUUCAAUUUUCAUCUCUUUGUAUAUGAUAACUUAUUGAAAAUUUGCGUUUUAUUUUUAAAUGCCUUUGAUAAUAAUUAUUAAAUUUUUAAUUAAUACAUUUUUUCAAUAAGAGGGUUAAAUAUGAUAAUCUUUUUUUUUCAAAAAAUAUUUGAAAUACAUGAGUUUUUUUAUAAAAUAAAAUAAUGUAAUUAUUAUAUUAUUUUUUCCCAAAACUAUUCAAAAUAAUAUAAAAUCUUAUAUUUAUAAAAUUAAAAUUAAAGAUAAAUUUCAAUGUUAUUAAAUAAUAUAAUUUUAUUCAAUAAUCAAUUUAUACUAAUAUACAAAACCAGUUUAUAAUAUAAAUUUCAUAUUUAUAAAUUUUAGUACUAAAAACUCAACAAUUAAUUUUUUUAAUACUUAAUCUUUCUAAUCAUGAAAAAAAAUUAAUUAGGAUAGACCUUCUCUUUAGAGUCCAAAAAAUAUCCAGGUCCCAUUAAUGAAUGUUAGAAUUUAUAAAAUAAAUCUAUAAUAUAACUUAAUAAACC
This 27718-nucleotide long non-coding RNA is filed under the name Gossypium barbadense (sea-island cotton). RNAcentral's name for it is "long non-coding RNA (GBAR_LNC004834)". The record is from RNAcentral. Lineage: Eukaryota; Viridiplantae; Streptophyta; Magnoliopsida; Malvales; Malvaceae.